Molecule: ribosomal RNA, 493 nt
Filed under: uncultured bacterium
Lineage: Bacteria
Description: partial 16S ribosomal RNA
Rfam family: Bacterial small subunit ribosomal RNA
Source: RNAcentral
AUUGAACGCUGGCGGCAUGCUUUACACAUGCAAGUCGAACGGUAACAGGUUAAGCUGACGAGUGGCGAACGGGUGAGUAAUGCAUCGGAACGUGCCCAGUCGUGGGAGAUAACGCAGCGAAAGCUGCGCUAAUACCGCAUACGAUCUGAGGAUGAAAGCGGGGGACCGUAAGGCCUCGCGCGAUCGGAGCGGCCGAUGGCAGAUUAGGUAGUUGGUGGGAUAAAGGCUCACCAAGCCGACGAUCUGUAGCUGGUCUGAGAGGACGACCAGCCACACUGGGACUGAGACACGGCCCAGACUCCUACGGGAGGCAGCAGUGGGGAAUUUUGGACAAUGGGCGCAAGCCUGAUCCAGCAAUGCCGCGUGCAGGAAGAAGGCCUUCGGGUUGUAAACUGCUUUUGUACGGAGCGAAAAGGCUCUCUCUAAUACAGGGGGCUCAUGACGGUACCGUAAGAAUAAGCACCGGCUAACUACGUGCCAGCAGCCGCCGUAA